UUGUUUUUGUGAUAUCAUCAUUCAGGUGCUCCUCAUCUGGUUCUCGUGCUAGUGGACUCUGUGCCCCUCUAAAAGAUGUGCAGAACACAUGUACUAGUAGGUCAAAUGUUGGUGUGGAUUUAAACAAAUUUGCAUAUGCACCAACUAAUCGGAAGGCUUCCUCAGCACAAUGCAGACGCUAAGCUUGGAUAGAUAUUUAAACAGAAAUUUGUUCUGGCACAACUCAUGGUUUUUCAAUUUAGUAAAGCCACACUCUUAAAUGUUGUCAUUCUUUGGUGUCUAGCUUACUACAAUCAAAGACUCAUUUUGGAUUUGUCGAGGCCUUAGAUUAUGCUGCCACCUGUGUGAUUCAUUACCUUCGCAUCAUAAGCUUGUAGGUUGAGAUAUGGCAAUGCCUUGUUUUUGUAUAUUCAAUUAUCUAGAGCUUAUGGAUAAUAACAAUAUAGUACUCUCUCUGUAACUGUUACCAUGUAUGCAUUGUAGCCUCUUGCUUCACUGGGCUCAAAAGAUUGCAGUUCUCUUUAAAAGUAUUUUGUUUGCUGUC
Molecule: non-coding RNA, 544 nt
Organism: Camellia sinensis
Lineage: Eukaryota; Viridiplantae; Streptophyta; Magnoliopsida; Ericales; Theaceae
Source: RefSeq, a predicted model, not a curated record